RNAcentral lists this long non-coding RNA (321 nucleotides) under Volvox carteri. RNAcentral's name for it is "long non-coding RNA (VCAR_LNC001864)". Lineage: Eukaryota; Viridiplantae; Chlorophyta; Chlorophyceae; Chlamydomonadales; Volvocaceae. The record is from RNAcentral.
GCUGACGCUGCAGGACCCCGGGGCAGCUCCUCCCCGAGUCCCUGAGCAACUACCCAGAGAGAGUGCAGUACAUUGCAGUACAGUAAUCAACAGACACAUACACUGCAUACAAUGACCGACUUGAGCCGAUAUGGACCAACACACAUUAUCCCUAGCUAUAGCUUUGACAGCGGGGCCUUCCUGCGGAGGACCUACGGCUGCUGGUUUAUCGGAACAGUCACCCUUCAAAUCAAUCACCGCAACAGGUGCUUGUCAACACCACUUUCCGUCAGCUGGCGCCCUAGGGAGCCGUGCGAUGCCUGCCUUGUCACCUGAUGCCUG